Molecule: ribosomal RNA, 301 nt
Filed under: uncultured bacterium
Lineage: Bacteria
Description: partial 16S ribosomal RNA
Rfam family: Bacterial small subunit ribosomal RNA
Source: RNAcentral
CAGUCGCCGCGGUAAUACGUAGGGCGCAAGCGUUAUCCGGAAUUAUUGGGCGUAAAGAGCUCGUAGGCGGUUUGUCGCGUCUGCCGUGAAAGUCCGGGGCUCAACCCCGGAUCUGCGGUGGGUACGGGCAGACUAGAGUGAUGUAGGGGAGACUGGAAUUCCUGGUGUAGCGGUGAAAUGCGCAGAUAUCAGGUGGAACACCGAUGGCGAAGGCAGGUCUCUGGGCAUUAACUGACGCUGAGGAGCGAAAGCAUGGGGAGCGAACAGGAUUAGAUACCCCUGUAGUCCCUGUCUCUUAUAC